CAAAACUGGGUGACUAAAGUCAAAGAAAAUGGAGUAUAGCACAUUAAUAGAAUUUUGACUGAAACUGCACCUGUAUUGUGUCUGCAAAGAAUGGAUAGCAGAAGUGGUGAAACAUCAAUAAGAAAUCAGAUAUGCCAAGAGAGGCAUUGGCUUGAGGCAACAAAGGGAUAAAAAGUCCCAAUGAGAAGCCAGUUCCUAAAGAAAAACACACACAAAAAAAAAUUCAUUACUGGAGGCUCACAUGCGGGGUCCCUCAGGGGACCAAGAUGGGUCCACUGUGCUUCCUCAUCCUCAU
RNAcentral lists this long non-coding RNA (295 nucleotides) under Portunus trituberculatus (swimming crab). RNAcentral's name for it is "uncharacterized LOC123498663, transcript variant X1". Lineage: Eukaryota; Metazoa; Arthropoda; Malacostraca; Decapoda; Portunidae. The record is from RNAcentral.